GAUGAACGCUGGCGGCGUGCCUAAUACAUGCAAGUCGUGCGAACAGACGAGGAGCUUGCUCCUCUGACGUUAGCGGCGGACGGGUGAGUAACACGUGGAUAACCUACCUAUAAGACUGGGAUAACUUCGGGAAACCGGAGCUAAUACCGGAUAAUAUAUUGAACCGCAUGGUUCAAUAGUGAAAGACGGUUUUGCUGUCACUUAUAGAUGGAUCCGCGCCGCAUUAGCUAGUUGGUAAGGUAACGGCUUACCAAGGCAACGAUGCGUAGCCGACCUGAGAGGGUGAUCGGCCACACUGGAACUGAGACACGGUCCAGACGCCUACGGGAGGCAGCAGUAGGGAAUCUUCCGCAAUGGGCGAAAGCCGGACGGAGCAACGCCGCGUGAGUGAUGAAGGUCUUCGGAUCGUAAAACUCUGUUAGUAGGGAAGAACAAAUGUGUAAGUAACUAUGCACGUCUUGACGGUACCUAAUCAGAAAGCCACGGCUAACUACGUG
This 497-nucleotide ribosomal RNA is filed under the name uncultured bacterium. RNAcentral describes it as "partial 16S ribosomal RNA". It matches the Rfam family "Bacterial small subunit ribosomal RNA", at positions 28 to 507 of the family's 1533-position model. The record is from RNAcentral.